This 306-nucleotide unclassified non-coding RNA is filed under the name plant metagenome. Its description in RNAcentral is "partial contains 5.8S ribosomal RNA, internal transcribed spacer 2, and large subunit ribosomal RNA". The stretch from base 1 to 105 matches the Rfam family "5.8S ribosomal RNA", at positions 50 to 154 of the family's 154-position model. The record is from RNAcentral.
GAAAUGCGAUAAGUAAUGUGAAUUGCAGAAUUCAGUGAAUCAUCGAAUCUUUGAACGCACAUUGCGCCCGCCAGUAUUCUGGCGGGCAUGCCUGUCCGAGCGUCAUUUCAACCAUCAAGCCCCCGGGCUUGUGUUGGGGACCUGCGGCUGCCCGCAGGCCCUGAAAACCAGUGGCGGGCUCGCUGUCACACCGAGCGUAGUAGCAAUCACCUCGCUCAGGGCGUGCUGCGGGUUCCGGCCGUUAAACAGCCUUACAAAACCCAAGGUUGACCUCGGAUCAGGUAGGAUCACCCGCUGAACUUAAGC